GACGAACGCUGGCGGCGUGCUUAACACAUGCAAGUCGAACGGAAAGGCCCUGCUUUUGUGGGGUGCUCGAGUGGCGAACGGGUGAGUAACACGUGAGUAACCUGCCCUUGACUUUGGGAUAACUUCAGGAAACUGGGGCUCAUACCGGAUAGGAGCUCCUGCUGCAUGGUGGGGGUUGGAAAGUUUCGGCGGUUGGGGAUAGACUCGCGGCUUAUCGGCUUGUUGGUGGGGUAGUGGCUUACCAAGGCUUUGACGGGUAGCCGGCCUGGGAGGGUGACCGGCCACAAUGGGACUGAGAUACGGACCAGACGCGUACGGGAGGCAGCGGGGGGGAGUAUGGCACAGUGGGCGGAAGCCUGAGACGGCGAUGUCGCGUGCGGGAUGACGGCCUUCGGGUUGUAAACCGAUGUCGCCGUUGCCGAAGCGUGAGUGACGGUAAUGGGUAAAGAAGCACCGGCUAACUACGUG
RNAcentral lists this ribosomal RNA (468 nucleotides) under uncultured bacterium. RNAcentral describes it as "partial 16S ribosomal RNA". It matches the Rfam family "Bacterial small subunit ribosomal RNA", at positions 28 to 507 of the family's 1533-position model. The record is from RNAcentral.